This 768-nucleotide ribosomal RNA is filed under the name uncultured bacterium. Its description in RNAcentral is "bacterial SSU rRNA". It matches the Rfam family "Bacterial small subunit ribosomal RNA", at positions 28 to 776 of the family's 1533-position model. The record is from RNAcentral.
GACGAACGCUGGCGGCGUGCCUAAUACAUGCAAGUCGAGCGAAGUUUUUCUGGUGCUUGCACUAGAAAAACUUAGCGGCGAACGGGUGAGUAACACGUAAAGAACCUGCCUCAUAGACUGGGACAACUAUUGGAAACGAUAGCUAAUACCGGAUAACAGCAUUAACUGCAUGGUUGAUGUUUAAAAGUUGGUUUUGCUAACACUAUGAGAUGGCUUUGCGGUGCAUUAGCUAGUUGGUGGGGUAAAGGCCUACCAAGGCGACGAUGCAUAGCCGACCUGAGAGGGUGAUCGGCCACACUGGGACUGAGACACGGCCCAGACUCCUACGGGAGGCAGCAGUAGGGAAUCUUCCGCAAUGGGCGAAAACCUGACGGAGCAACGCCGCGUGAGUGAAGAAGGAUUUCGGUUCGUAAAGCUCUGUUGUUAGGGAAGAAGGAUUGUGUAGUAACUAUACACAGUAGAGACGGUACCUAACCAGAAAGCCACGGCUAACUACGUGCCAGCAGCCGCGGUAAUACGUAGGUGGCAAGCGUUGUCCGGAAUUAUUGGGCGUAAAGCGCGCGCAGGUGGUUUAAUAAGUCUGAUGUGAAAGCCCACGGCUCAACCGUGGAGGGUCAUUGGAAACUGUUAAACUUGAGUGCAGGAGAGAAAAGUGGAAUUCCUAGUGUAGCGGUGAAAUGCGUAGAGAUUAGGAGGAACACCAGUGGCGAAGGCGGCUUUUUGGCCUGUAACUGACACUGAGGCGCGAAAGCGUGGGGAGCAAACAGG